Calliphora vicina (urban bluebottle blowfly) is the source of this 424-nucleotide long non-coding RNA. RefSeq lists it as uncharacterized. The transcript has 2 exons. Lineage: Eukaryota; Metazoa; Arthropoda; Insecta; Diptera; Calliphoridae. The record is from RefSeq and is a predicted model, not a curated record.
CAGUAUUCUAAUAAAUUUCAUAGCGAAGAAAACAUACCCGAUCUUAAAUAAAAAAAAUAUGAAAUUAUUACAAUUAUUUUUCAUAGUUGGCUGCAUUGUUACCGUUGCAGUGGGAGCUCCAUGUCGCGUUCUUAAAUGGAUCAAAGAACAAAUACCCGAAAUUAAGAUACCCAAUAUUCAUUUACCCAAAAUUGAGUUACCCGAUAUUUAUUUGCCCAAUGUUAACUUUGGUAAUCUCAAUAUAGGAUGGAACUAGAUAGAUGUGCAACUUAGUGGAAAAUAUAUUAAAAAUAUUUAUUUUUUCCCAAACCUUAUGGCUGACACAACAACAAAAUUCAUUCAAUUACAUGAGUUUUAUUGUUGCAAGAUUUAGGCCAACAAGCAUAACACCUUGAAAUUUAAUAAAUAUUUAUUUGAAAACCUU